AUACUUAUCUGGCAAGGGAAAUACUGUGAUCAAGAAGGCGGUUCACCCAGAGCGAGGCUCAGCCAUUGCACUCCGGCUGUGCUGACCCCUGCGAAUUUGGGAAAUCUCGAUUGCAGAAUUUCUGGUAGUGGGGGGCUGCGUUCGCGCUCUCCCCUG
Molecule: small nuclear RNA, 156 nt
Filed under: Hucho hucho (huchen)
Lineage: Eukaryota; Metazoa; Chordata; Actinopteri; Salmoniformes; Salmonidae
Description: U1 spliceosomal RNA (ENSHHUG00000018287.1)
Rfam family: U1 spliceosomal RNA
About the family: U1 is a small nuclear RNA (snRNA) component of the spliceosome (involved in pre-mRNA splicing). Its 5' end forms complementary base pairs with the 5' splice junction, thus defining the 5' donor site of an intron. There are significant differences in sequence and secondary structure between metazoan and yeast U1 snRNAs, the latter being much longer (568 nucleotides as compared to 164 nucleotides in human).
Source: Rfam by way of RNAcentral